Molecule: ribosomal RNA, 592 nt
Filed under: Fusarium sp. OTU107 AN-2016
Lineage: Eukaryota; Fungi; Ascomycota; Sordariomycetes; Hypocreales; Nectriaceae
Description: eukaryotic LSU rRNA
Rfam family: 5.8S ribosomal RNA (bases 205-358)
Source: RNAcentral
GAGGAAGUAAAAGUCGUAACAAGUUCUCGCUAGGUGACCAGCGGAGGGACAUUACCGAGUUAGUCAACUCAUCAACCCUGUGAACAUACCUAAACGUUGCUUCGGCGGGAACAGACGGCCCCGUGAAACGGGCCCCCCCCGCCAGAGGACCCCUAACUCUGUUUCUAUAAUGUUUCUUCUGAGUAAAACAAGCAAAUAAAUUAAAACUUUCAACAACGGAUCUCUUGGCUCUGGCAUCGAUGAAGAACGCAGCGAAAUGCGAUAAGUAAUGUGAAUUGCAGAAUUCAGUGAAUCAUCGAAUCUUUGAACGCACAUUGCGCCCGCCAGUAUUCUGGCGGGCAUGCCUGUUCGAGCGUCAUUACAACCCUCAGGCCCCCGGGCCUGGCGUUGGGGAUCGGCGGAGCCCCCCGUGGGCACACGCCGUCCCCCAAAUACAGUGGCGGUCCCGCCGCAGCUUCCAUCGCGUAGUAGCUAACACCUCGCGACUGGAGAGCGGCGCGGCCACGCCGUAUAACACCCAACUCUUCUGAAGUUGACCUCGAAUCAGGUAGGAAUACCCGCUGAACUUAAGCAUAUCAAAAGCGGGAGGAAA